Molecule: ribosomal RNA, 1425 nt
Filed under: Salmonella enterica
Lineage: Bacteria; Pseudomonadati; Pseudomonadota; Gammaproteobacteria; Enterobacterales; Enterobacteriaceae
Also listed under: 1 other name
Description: partial 23S ribosomal RNA
Rfam family: Bacterial large subunit ribosomal RNA
Source: RNAcentral
AAAUCCGGUUCACUUUAACACUGAGGCGUGACGACGAGGCACUACGGUGCUGAAGCAACAAAUGCCCUGCUUCCAGGAAAAGCCUCUAAGCAUCAGGUAACAUCAAAUCGUACCCCAAACCGACACAGGUGGUCAGGUAGAGAAUACCAAGGCGCUUGAGAGAACUCGGGUGAAGGAACUAGGCAAAAUGGUGCCGUAACUUCGGGAGAAGGCACGCUGACACGUAGGUGAAGUGAUUUACUCAUGGAGCUGAAGUCAGUCGAAGAUACCAGCUGGCUGCAACUGUUUAUUAAAAACACAGCACUGUGCAAACACGAAAGUGGACGUAUACGGUGUGACGCCUGCCCGGUGCCGGAAGGUUAAUUGAUGGGGUCAGCGCAAGCGAAGCUCCUGAUCGAAGCCCCGGUAAACGGCGGCCGUAACUAUAACGGUCCUAAGGUAGCGAAAUUCCUUGUCGGGUAAGUUCCGACCUGCACGAAUGGCGUAAUGAUGGCCAGGCUGUCUCCACCCGAGACUCAGUGAAAUUGAACUCGCUGUGAAGAUGCAGUGUACCCGCGGCAAGACGGAAAGACCCCGUGAACCUUUACUAUAGCUUGACACUGAACAUUGAGCCUUGAUGUGUAGGAUAGGUGGGAGGCUUUGAAGUGUGGACGCCAGUCUGCAUGGAGCCGACCUUGAAAUACCACCCUUUAAUGUUUGAUGUUCUAACGUGGACCCGUUACCCGGGUUGCGGACAGUGUCUGGUGGGUAGUUUGACUGGGGCGGUCUCCUCCUAAAGAGUAACGGAGGAGCACGAAGGUUGGCUAAUCCUGGUCGGACAUCAGGAGGUUAGUGCAAUGGCAUAAGCCAGCUUGACUGCGAGCGUGACGGCGCGAGCAGGUGCGAAAGCAGGUCAUAGUGAUCCGGUGGUUCUGAAUGGAAGGGCCAUCGCUCAACGGAUAAAAGGUACUCCGGGGAUAACAGGCUGAUACCGCCCAAGAGUUCAUAUCGACGGCGGUGUUUGGCACCUCGAUGUCGGCUCAUCACAUCCUGGGGCUGAAGUAGGUCCCAAGGGUAUGGCUGUUCGCCAUUUAAAGUGGUACGCGAGCUGGGUUUAGAACGUCGUGAGACAGUUCGGUCCCUAUCUGCCGUGGGCGCUGGAGAACUGAGGGGGGCUGCUCCUAGUACGAGAGGACCGGAGUGGACGCAUCACUGGUGUUCGGGUUGUCAUGCCAAUGGCACUGCCCGGUAGCUAAAUGCGGAAGAGAUAAGUGCUGAAAGCAUCUAAGCACGAAACUUGCCCCGAGAUGAGUUCUCCCUGAGACUUAGAGUCUCCUGAAGGAACGUUGAAGACGACGACGUUGAUAGGCCGGGUGUGUAAGCGCAGCGAUGCGUUGAGCUAACCGGUACUAAUGAACCGUGAGGCUUAACCUUACAACGCCGAAG